This 3571-nucleotide long non-coding RNA is filed under the name Nicotiana benthamiana. RNAcentral's name for it is "long non-coding RNA (NBEN_LNC005023)". The record is from RNAcentral. Lineage: Eukaryota; Viridiplantae; Streptophyta; Magnoliopsida; Solanales; Solanaceae.
UGAAAUCGAAAAAUCGAAACCUUAUUGAAACGAUAACAAUAAGCAUCGAUAAUCGACAAGUAAUUAUCGAUAAGUAUCAAAAUUGAAUCGAUGCCCAACACGAGAUAAGGAUGGUUAAAUUGCAUUGUAGAGUUUGUACUUAACUCAAUGUAGUAGUCAUACACGUAGUAUAACUCUAAAUCAUUUGUAGUACCUAUCACUUAGCCUAGUUUUUCAUUUGGUUUGUGACCUGUAUAAACGCAGUCACUAGUGGAUUUGUAAUACAUGUGAAAACACAUGAUGCUGAAUAUAACUCCUUCUCAAUCUUGUGAUUUUCUACAUGUUAUCAGAGAUUUCUGAAGAUACGCUGCCCACACCAAAAAUAAGAUCAAACAUGGCCAUAACAACACCCUCAUUCCCUUUGUGUUUAUCCCCUACUUCUCUGCUUCAUCUGAUUGCCUUCUGUCCAGUUAAGUUGAAACCAUCGGACAAUUUAAAUUGGAGGACACAAUACUCCAGUUGAUUCAGGUAAUGAAUGUGACAACCCUGAUCAAGGAAGGCAAGCCAGACACAAGCAAUUCAUGUACUUCUGUUAGUGCUGAUAAGUGUGUCGAAUGUGAUGACAAUACUAACCGGAAGGAAAAACAUGUGCUCCGAAAGAGUUGGAUCUCUGGAAUAAUGACUGAGGAAAUCAUGUAUCUCAUUGUGGGAUGUUCAACUGCUAAAGAAAUAUGGGAAUGUUGGGACGAAGCAUAUCUACAGACAACUAAUGACAAGGAAUUUCAACUUAAGCAAUAGCUACAGAACAUCAAGCUAGGAACCAAAAGGCUUGAUGAAUAUAUGAAGGAGUUCAAAGUCAUAUGUUUCAGCCAUACACAAGCCAAUUGAUGGAGACAACAAAGUGAUCAACUUUGCUAGAGGAGUUGGUCCAAAGUACAAGACUUUUAGGACUAUCAUACUAGGAAAGGCCCCAUAUCCUACCAUGCACUAGUUUGUUAAUGCUCUUAGAGGAUUUAAGGAGAUGAAGAAGAAAUGGCUCAAAUAUAUAUUCGAUAUGGCCUUUGCUGCUCAAAGUGGAAGAGGUUGUGAAGGUUACUCUAACAGAAGAGGAAACUCAAACUUCUCAUCAAGAAGAAGAGGUUUCGGACCUGCGGGACAAGGUAGUAAUCAGAUAAAUCAAGCUACUCAGAACACUGCAAAUUCAAGUCAACUAACGGAAGGAAAAUUGCCAAAUAUGUGAAAAAACAAUCACACAACCUUAAAAUGCUUUUACAUGUGGGACUAUUCCUACCAUGCUAUAGAGGAUUUGCCAUAGGCCUUUUCUGCUGUUAAUCUGCAAAAUAUAGAGGCUGAAGAUGAAACUAUGUAUGUUGACUCUAGUGCAAGCAGUCACAUAACUAAUUCAACAGGUAAUAUGUCAAACCUUCAACCUUAUAAUGGUUCUGAUAAAAUAAUAGUUGGAGAUGGCUCUAAACUUGACAUCACACAUAUUGGCAAUACAACAAAAUCUGGGUUUUAAGUACAGAAAAUUCUUGUUGUUCCUAAGAUUAAAAAGAAACUGAUGUCAGUUAGUAAGCUUGCUAAGAACAAUUCUUGUAUACUUAAGUUUGAUGAAUCUAGUUUUGUUGUAAAGGACAAGAUCUCAAGGAGAUUUUUGGCCAAGGGAUCUAAGAAGAAUGAUCUAUAUGCAUUAGAAGACAAUAACUUUUAUGCCCUGUCACACCUUUUUUUUACCUACACUCGCAGGGGGCGUAAGGGGAUUUAAGAGAGUUUUUUCAAUUAAAGGACAAUCGAAACGGAAUUUAUUAUUAAGAUUCAGAGUCGUCACUUGGGAAAUUUAUGGUAUCCCAAUUCACCGGUUGAAUCCCGAAUCGAGGAAAAAGAUUGAUUCUGUAUUACAGUUCGCAACCAGAAAUUUGAUAAAGAAUUCUGUUAACCCGGGAGAAGGUGUUAGGCAUUCCUGAGUUCCCUAGUUCUAUCACGGUCGCUCAAUUGUUAUAUUCAACGUAUUUAUCUGAUUUUUAAAAUAUGAAGUACAUUUAUUUAAACUAAAGUUAAAGCCAAAAGCGAAAGUUAAAGCUGAAGUUUAAGGAAAAGGAAAAGGAAAAGGAAAAGUUAAAGCGAAAGUUAAAGCUAAAGUUUAAAAGAAAAGCAAAAGCAAAAGUUAAAGCAAAAGUUAAAGUUAAAGCUAAAGCUAAAGUGAAAGUUAAAGCAAAAAUGGUGAGUUCCGUGGUUGUAGCACGGUCGCCCAACUGUUGUAUUUGGCUUAAAUUAUCUGAUUUUAACACCAAUGGAAUUAUAUGCAUUUAACUAUUUUACCGUUAUUAUUAUUAUUAUUAUUAUUAUUAUUAUUAUUGUUAUUUUAAAAGAAUUACAACGUCAUGGAAAUGCAUUUCGAACCACAUUACAAUCAAUGUACCCGUGAUUAUCAACACAUUCCGACUUCGUUGAGAUUUGGAUUUGGGUUACAUAAAUGUACACCCGAGUUUAAAGAUGUAAUGUUAUUUAAAGUACACACCUAAAGAGACUAACGCAUUAUUAUUUUAGAAAAAGACCGUGAAAUUAGCUAAGCGGCCGAUCUCGAGUUCUAAAUAAUUAAUAUAUACAUUUAUGAGGGCCCCCGCAGUUUGUACGUCUUAUUUGGCGAGGCGAGGCUCAUCUUAUUGUUAAAAGGCAAACCUAAAAGCAACUACGAUUCUCUACUUUAUUUGUCUCUAAAAAGAGAAAUUCUAAUUUAUUCACUAAGAUUAUAGAGUCAUUAUAAUCAGGUUACAUAAAAUGUACUCCCGAAUUUUAGUGAUUAAACGUCACAACUACGUCACGUGAACCGUAGCCGUAGCCGUGAUAAUUUAAUUAUGCUAACUACGAAAUUAAACAACUCUUAAACAUAUUUACUAUGGAAAACUAGGCUAGCAGCAUAUUAUCAUCUUCACUAAACAAUAUCCACUCAAAGUAUUCCAUCAAGUCUAACAAUUUAUCAGAAUUUAAGAGAAAACUAAGAACCUACGGACAUUUUUGCGAUUUUCAAAUCAUCACUGAAAUCAAACUUUAUUUCUUAACAUUGUUAAUCUACUAUAAUAGUUAUGAGCUUGCCAAAGGAAUUAAAAUUAGCGAUUCAUGCUCAUCACAAAAGAAAAAUUAGUUAAACUUCAAUAUAUACUAAACAGGAACCAAAUUUAUGCAUUAACCAUGAGUAAGGUGGGAUUUCAUAUUUCUUCUUUUCAAAAUUCAGUAAGUCAACCAAACAAUCAACGUAGGCUUCGGAAGAUUUCAAAUAACGGAGUGGUUUAAAACUUUUAAGAGCCCAAUCAAAAAUGCAACAUCAACUAACAACAAAACGAAAAGAAAAAUGACCUUUGUAUUGAUGAGUCUGCGUCCGAACUACAACCACCGGACAAUUUCUUAACAGAACAUUCACCGACUACCUCGACCGGAAAAACUCAAACAGAACCGCAACUCGAUACCUCAACGGAAACCUCGACGAACAAUGACGACCUCAACGGCUCGAUGACCAGAAAACUCUCAUACGCUGUCACUGUUUCAGGUUAGUCGUGGUGCGGCUGUCGUUGGGCUGUUCGUGGUUGACGAAGUG